GGAAAGUGGGGAUGACGUCAAGUCAUCAUGGCCCUUACGGCCUGGGCUACACACGUGCUACAAUGGUCGGUACAAAGGGUUGCCAAGCCGCGAGGUGGAGCUAAUCCCAUAAAACCGAUCGUAGUCCGGAUCGCAGUCUGCAACUCGACUGCGUGAAGUCGGAAUCGCUAGUAAUCGUGAAUCAGAAUGUCACGGUGAAUACGUUCCCGGGCCUU
This 215-nucleotide ribosomal RNA is filed under the name uncultured Pseudomonas sp. Its description in RNAcentral is "partial 16S ribosomal RNA". It matches the Rfam family "Bacterial small subunit ribosomal RNA", at positions 1168 to 1382 of the family's 1533-position model. The record is from RNAcentral. Lineage: Bacteria; Pseudomonadati; Pseudomonadota; Gammaproteobacteria; Pseudomonadales; Pseudomonadaceae.